AACGAACGCUGGCGGCAGGCUUAACACAUGCAAGUCGAACGCCCCGCAAGGGGAGUGGCCGACGGGUGAGUAACGCGUGGGAAUCUACCGUACCCUACGGAACAACUCCGGGAAACUGGAGCUAAUACCGUAUACGCCCUACGGGGGAAAGAUUUAUCGGGGUAUGAUGAGCCCGCGUUGGAUUAGCUAGUUGGUGGGGUAAAGGCCUACCAAGGCGACGAUCCAUAGCUGGUCUGAGAGGAUGAUCAGCCACAUUGGGACUGAGACACGGCCCAAACUCCAACGGGAGGCAGCAGUGGGGAAUAUUGGACAAUGGGCGCAAGCCUGAUCCAGCCAUGCCGCGUGAGUGAUGAAGGUCUUAGGAUUGUAAAGCUCUUUCACCGAUGAAGAUAAUGACGGUAGUCGGAGAAGAAGCCCCGGCUAACUUCGUGCCAGCAGCCGCCGUAA
RNAcentral lists this ribosomal RNA (447 nucleotides) under uncultured bacterium. Its description in RNAcentral is "partial 16S ribosomal RNA". It matches the Rfam family "Bacterial small subunit ribosomal RNA", at positions 29 to 523 of the family's 1533-position model. The record is from RNAcentral.